GGCGAUCGUGCGGCAGCGGCGUAUAAUACGCUGAGGAAAGUCCGAGCAUCGCAGAGCAGGGUAGUUGAUAACGUCAACCGAGGGCGACCUCCGAGCCAGUGCAACAGAGAUAUACCGCCUGCAAAAGCAGGUAAGGGUGGAAAGGCGAGGUAAGAGCUCACCGGAGCGGGUGUGAGUCCGCUGCCAUGUAAACCUUACCCGAUGCAACGCCAAUGGCAGUGCUACAGCUAAUGGCUGCUCGUCAGGCUGUAAACUGUAGGCGGCUGGAGCCGCGCGGCAACGUGCGGUCGAGAUAGAUUGCCGCACUUGACAGAACUCGGCUUAUAGGUCGGCUCGC
This 337-nucleotide RNase P RNA is filed under the name uncultured Ruminococcus sp. RNAcentral's name for it is "Bacterial RNase P class A". It matches the Rfam family "Bacterial RNase P class A". Rfam says of the family: Ribonuclease P (RNase P) is a ubiquitous endoribonuclease, found in archaea, bacteria and eukarya as well as chloroplasts and mitochondria. The record is from RNAcentral. Lineage: Bacteria; Bacillati; Bacillota; Clostridia; Eubacteriales; Oscillospiraceae.